Molecule: non-coding RNA, 119 nt
Organism: Pholiota conissans
Lineage: Eukaryota; Fungi; Basidiomycota; Agaricomycetes; Agaricales; Strophariaceae
Source: the annotation of a GenBank genome assembly
GGUGAGAUGGCCGAGCGGUCUAAGGCGCCAGACUAAGGAUCAGGGUACUCUGUACUCAUCACUAACCUUUGAAGGUUAUCUGGUCCUCCGGGGCGUGGGUUCGAAUCCCACUCUCAUCA